GGAGCGCAACUGACGCUCAUGCUCGAAAGUGCGGGUAUCGAACAGGAUUAGAUACCCUGGUAGUCCGCACGGUAAACGAUGGAUGCCCGCUAUUUGUCCAUUAGGAUAAGUGGCCAAGUGAAAACGUUAAGCAUCCCACCUGGGGAGUACGCCGGCAACGGUGAAACUCAAAGGAAUUGACGGGGGCCCGCACAAGCGGAGGAACAUGUGGUUUAAUUCGAUGAUACGCGAGGAACCUUACCCGGGCUUGAAUUGUGAGAGAAGGAUCCAGAGAUGGUGACGCCCUUCGGGGCUCUCAUGAAGGUGCUGCAUGGUUGUCGUCAGCUCGUGCCGUGAGGUGUCGGCUUAAGUGCCAUAACGAGCGCAACCCCUCUCUUCAGUUGCCAUCAGGUUAAGCUGGGCACUCUGGAGACACUGCCACCGUAAGGUGUGAGGAAGGUGGGGAUGACGUCAAAUCAGCACGGCCCUUACGUCCGGGGCUACACACGUGUUACAAUGGGUGGUACAGAGAGUUGGGUGCCCGCAAGGUCACUCUAAUCAAUAAAUCCAUCCUCAGUUCGGACUGGGGUCUGCAACCCGACCCCACGAAGCUGGAUUCGCU
Molecule: ribosomal RNA, 601 nt
Filed under: uncultured bacterium
Lineage: Bacteria
Description: bacterial SSU rRNA
Rfam family: Bacterial small subunit ribosomal RNA
Source: RNAcentral